RNAcentral lists this ribosomal RNA (497 nucleotides) under uncultured bacterium. RNAcentral's name for it is "partial 16S ribosomal RNA". It matches the Rfam family "Bacterial small subunit ribosomal RNA", at positions 28 to 507 of the family's 1533-position model. The record is from RNAcentral.
GACGAACGCUGGCGGCGUGCCUAAUACAUGCAAGUUGAGCGCUGAAGGUUGGUACUUGUACCAACUGGAUGAGCAGCGAACGGGUGAGUAACGCGUGGGGAAUCUGCCUUUGAGCGGGGGACAACAUUUGGAAACGAAUGCUAAUACCGCAUAAAAACUUUAAACACAAGUUUUAAGUUUGAAAGAUGCAAUUGCAUCACUCAAGGAUGAUCCCGCGUUGUAUUAGCUAGUUGGUGAGGUAAAGGCUCACCAAGGCGAUGAUACAUAGCCGACCUGAGAGGGUGAUCGGCCACAUUGGGACUGAGACACGGCCCAAACUCCUACGGGAGGCAGCAGUAGGGAAUCUUCGGCAAUGGACGAAAGUCUGACCGAGCAACGCCGCGUGAGUGAAGAAGGUUUUCGGAUCGUAAAAAUCUGUUGGUAGAGAAGAACGUUGGUGAGAGUGGAAAGCUCAUCAAGUGACGGUAACUACCCAGAAAGGGACGGCUAACUACGUG